RNAcentral lists this ribosomal RNA (461 nucleotides) under uncultured bacterium. Its description in RNAcentral is "partial 16S ribosomal RNA". It matches the Rfam family "Bacterial small subunit ribosomal RNA", at positions 338 to 795 of the family's 1533-position model. The record is from RNAcentral.
CCUACGGGUGGCAGCAGUGAGGAAUAUUGGUCAAUGGGCGGAAGCCUGAACCAGCCAAGUCGCGUGAGGGAUUAAGGCCCUGCGGGUCGUAAACCUCUUUUGCCGGGGAGCAGAGGUCCGGACGUGACCGGGCCGGGAGAGUACCCGGAGAAACAGCAUCGGCUAACUCCGUGCCAGCAGCCGCGGUAAUACGGAGGAUGCGAGCGUUAUCCGGAUUUAUUGGGUUUAAAGGGUGCGUAGGCGGGCAUUUAAGCCGGCGGUCAAAUGUCGGGGCUCAACCUCGGAAUUGCCUCUGAUACUGUUCGGCUAGAGAGUAGUUGCGGUAGGCGGAAUGUAUGGUGUAGCGGUGAAAUGCUUAGAGAUCAUACAGAACACCGAUUGCGAAGGCAGCUUACCAAGCUACUUCUGACGUUGAGGCACGAAAGCGUGGGGAGCAAACAGGAUUAGAUACCCUUGUAGUC